Molecule: ribosomal RNA, 265 nt
Filed under: uncultured Synergistaceae bacterium
Lineage: Bacteria; Thermotogati; Synergistota; Synergistia; Synergistales; Synergistaceae
Description: partial 16S ribosomal RNA
Rfam family: Bacterial small subunit ribosomal RNA
Source: RNAcentral
GGGUAGAGCCGGGCGACUCUGGCGGGACUGCCAUCGACAAGAUGGAGGAAGGUGGGGAGUGACGUCAAGUCAUCAUGGCCCUUAUGUCCAGGGCGGACACACGUGCUACAAUGGCCGGCACAGCGGGAAGCGAGGCAGUGAUGCCAAGCGGAUCCCUUAAAAGCCGGUCUCAGUUCGGAUUGAAGUCUGCAACUCGACUUCAUGAAGCUGGAAUCGCUAGUAAUCGCAGAUCAGCCAAGCUGCGGUGAAUACGUUCCCGGGCCUU